Molecule: ribosomal RNA, 324 nt
Filed under: uncultured eukaryote
Lineage: Eukaryota
Description: partial 18S ribosomal RNA
Rfam family: Eukaryotic small subunit ribosomal RNA
Source: RNAcentral
CCCUUAGAUGCUCUGGGCCGCACGCGCGCUACACUGGUCGAUACAACGAGUUUCUUUCCUUGGCCGACAGGCCUGGGCAAUCUUUGAACAUCGAUCGUGAUCGGGAUAGAUUCUUGUAAUUUUUGAUCUUAAACGAGGAAUUCCUAGUAAACGCAAGUCAUCAGCUUGCAUUGAUUACGUCCCUGCCCUUUGUACACACCGCCCGUCGCACCUACCGAUUGAAUGGUCCGGUGAAAUCUCCGGACUGGCGUGAGUCGGAGCAAUCUGACAAACACCGGAAAGUUGAUUAAACCUUACCAUUUAGAGGAAGGUGAAGUCGUAACA